RNAcentral lists this ribosomal RNA (250 nucleotides) under uncultured bacterium. Its description in RNAcentral is "partial 16S ribosomal RNA". It matches the Rfam family "Bacterial small subunit ribosomal RNA", at positions 524 to 773 of the family's 1533-position model. The record is from RNAcentral.
UACGGGGGGUGCAAGCGUUACUCGGAAUCACUGGGCGUAAAGGGCGCGUAGGCGUCUUGUUAAGUCUUGAGUGAAAGCCUGCGGCUCAACCGCAGAACUGCUUGGGAAACUGACAAGAUUGAGUAUGGAAGAGGUAGGUGGAAUUUCCAGUGUAGGGGUAAAAUCCGUAGAUAUUGGAAGGAAUACCAGAAGCGAAGGCGACCUACUGGGACAUUACUGACGCUGAGGCGCGAAAGCGUGGGGAGCAAAC